GGCAUAACUGGCUUGUGGCAGCCAAGCGUCCAUUGCAA
Molecule: ribosomal RNA, 38 nt
Filed under: Eutreptiella gymnastica
Lineage: Eukaryota; Euglenozoa; Euglenophyceae; Eutreptiales; Eutreptiaceae
Description: partial Eukaryotic large subunit ribosomal RNA
Source: RNAcentral